Molecule: ribosomal RNA, 425 nt
Filed under: uncultured bacterium
Lineage: Bacteria
Description: bacterial SSU rRNA
Rfam family: Bacterial small subunit ribosomal RNA
Source: RNAcentral
GUGGGGGAUAUUGCACAAUGGGGGAAACCCUGAUGCAGCAACGCCGCGUGAGGGAAGAAGGUUUUCGGAUUGUAAACCUCUGUCCUAGGUGAAGAUAAUGACGGUAGCCUGGGAGGAAGCUCCGGCUAACUACGUGCCAGCAGCCGCGGUAAUACGUAGGGAGCGAGCGUUGUCCGGAAUUACUGGGUGUAAAGGGUGCGUAGGCGGCCUUGUGGGUCAGGCGUGAAAUACAUGGGCUUAACCCAUGGACUGCGCUUGAAACUAUAAGGCUUGAGUGAAGUAGAGGCAGGCGGAAUUCCCGGUGUAGCGGUGAAAUGCGUAGAGAUCGGGAGGAACACCAGUGGCGAAGGCGACCUGCUGGGCUUUAACUGACGCUGAGGCACGAAAGCAUGGGUAGCAAACAGGAUUAGAAACCCCUGUAGUCC